AUCUACCCUUUUUAGGGUGAUUCGGUCAAUUUUGAAUAAAUCAAAUUUCAUCCAAUUCAUUUUGACCAGUUUACCUAUUUUAGGGCAAUUCAGUCAUUUUUGAAUAAAUCAUCAAUUUUAUCCAAUCCAUUUGACCUGCUUUUUCCCCUUUUAGGGUUUAGGUCUAUGGUUCACUGAAUGAAUUAAUUGAGACAUUGCAAUCUCUUUUAUACAUUAUUUCAUGCGUCGAUCAAAGCAAGCAAUCCAUUCGGACUUUGCCCUCAUUUUUAGAAAAAUGCUUUUUUCACUCCAAUGGGCCAAAUUUGUUCAAAUCAUUUUUUC
RNAcentral lists this long non-coding RNA (321 nucleotides) under Coffea arabica (coffee). RNAcentral's name for it is "long non-coding RNA (CARA_LNC005597)". The record is from RNAcentral. Lineage: Eukaryota; Viridiplantae; Streptophyta; Magnoliopsida; Gentianales; Rubiaceae.